This 565-nucleotide long non-coding RNA is filed under the name Rattus norvegicus (Norway rat). Its description in RNAcentral is "long non-coding RNA NONRATT008508". The record is from RNAcentral. Lineage: Eukaryota; Metazoa; Chordata; Mammalia; Rodentia; Muridae.
CACAGUGACAGGUGACCACAGUGACAUGAGACCACAGUGACAGGUGACUACAGUGACAGGUGACCACAAUGGCAGGUGACUGCAGUGACAGGUGACUGCAGUGACAGGUGACCGCAGUGACAGGUGAUGGCCUGUGACAGGUGACAGCACUGACAGGUGACGGCAGUGACAGGUGACCACAGUGGCAGGUGACCACAGUGACAGGUGGCCACAGUGACAGGUGACCACGGUGACAGGUGACAGCAGUUAUAGGUGACAGCAGUGACAGGUGACAGCAGUAACAGGUGAUGGCAGUGACAGGUGACAGCACUGACAGGUGACAGUAGUGAUAGGUGACCACAGUGACAAUGGACGGCAGUGACAGUGACAGGUGACAGCAGUGAUGGUGACAGCAGUGAUAGGAGACCACAGUGACAAGUGACAGCCGUGACAGGUGACACCCAUAAAGCAUGGACAGGAAGAAGGCAUGGGAGCAGGUGGGGAACUAGCCUUGUGCUGUGGGUGCCAGUACUCUGAUGUUCUAAUAUAAAAUUGUGCAUUCUAAAAAUGAAAAAAAAAACCUAGG